CUCCCAGUUGUCAAUGCUCCUGAAUGUAAUGACAGCCAGAGACGAGGAAAGGGAGAGAUUACGACAAGAGGUACAGCGGUCUCGAGAGCAGCUACACGCCAUGUACGAGCGUCAGCCCGCAGAUUGUCCUCAUGACCCUAGUGUUUGUUGAUGCUCUAUCCGGCGAAGCGGAAACUCAACUGGAGACUGCGGCUGAGGCGGAGUGAUGAACACUUCGGCCCCACUGUCUCUCAACUCGCGUGUUGGCGUCGGCCAGCCUCGUACCUUCGUGGAUCUGAGUACAUGUCUCAUCUCGUAUAGUAGUAUUAUCGCGUGUACAGUAAGUAAGCCUUGCCCUAGUGCCUAGUGUUGUCGUUACCAUCCCGGACUCCAUAUAGUGGUGCUCAUUCCAACAUAAGUUGUUGUACAGAUAGACUAUCAUACGAUCACUUUUUUAUUAUAUAAUAUAUAGAUGCAUAAUAAUUAAUUAUGGAUAAUCAAAGAUUUGUUAUUAUUUGGAUAAGUUUACGCGAGUGUUGUUUAACUCAUUUUUUAUUAAGUUUAAUUAAUUGUGGGUUUAAUUUAUUAAGAUGAAGGUAUUGUAGAGUAGAUGUAAGAUGUUUCCUAUAUGCAUUUAUACAGUAUUGUACCGGUGCGGCUAUGUAUGUAUGGUGCUACAUUUUAGGCCACACGCUAGAGGUAACUUUUCCUUCUUUCUGUGAUAAUAAAAAAGAGUUUAUAUCAAAAAGAAUAUAAUUUGAGUUUGUUUUCUCAAAGAGCCCAGUACUAUUGAGUGGAUCGUUGGCCAUAAUCGUGUUAUUUAUUGUAAUGUUGUUUGGAAAAGUAGCUUUAACUUAAGACUAUAGUGUAAUUGUUUCAAAAAAGUUACCUCUAGUUUUGAUCUGUGUAUGUAAUAUUUUUUGUAAAGAACAUUUUUGUAUAUUGUGGUCCUGCAUAAAGCUAUUUCUAUUAACACUUAUUUCUGGUUUUUAUCACUAGUGGUUACUUGUAUCACGAUUUGAAUUUUUGUGCAGUAUUAAUAAGCAUUCUUUUGUAAAUUAUGAACUGUAUUCAUAAGUGUUACUCAAAUGUUUUUCUUGUUAUAAAAAAUUCAAAAUUA
This is a long non-coding RNA of Homalodisca vitripennis (glassy-winged sharpshooter), 1099 nucleotides long. RefSeq lists it as uncharacterized. The transcript has 3 exons. The record is from RefSeq and is a predicted model, not a curated record. NCBI's taxonomy places the organism in Eukaryota, Metazoa, Arthropoda, Insecta, Hemiptera, Cicadellidae.